Pristionchus pacificus is the source of this 62-nucleotide non-coding RNA. NCBI's taxonomy places the organism in Eukaryota, Metazoa, Nematoda, Chromadorea, Rhabditida, Neodiplogasteridae. The record is from Rfam.
UCUCCAUUUCACACGCUCUCUCGCUGGUCAGAGAAAGCGAGAGAGCAUGGGAAAUGGAGAGA